AUGAGUUUGUUGUAACGGUAGCCUGCCGGUCUCCAAAACCGUGCGGUGGGGGUUCGAAUCCUCCAACUCAUGCCA
RNAcentral lists this transfer RNA (75 nucleotides) under Acidithiobacillus sp. RNAcentral describes it as "tRNA-Trp". It matches the Rfam family "tRNA". Rfam says of the family: Transfer RNA (tRNA) molecules are approximately 80 nucleotides in length. Their secondary structure includes four short double-helical elements and three loops (D, anti-codon, and T loops). The record is from RNAcentral. Lineage: Bacteria; Pseudomonadati; Pseudomonadota; Acidithiobacillia; Acidithiobacillales; Acidithiobacillaceae.